Molecule: long non-coding RNA, 226 nt
Filed under: Prunus persica (peach)
Lineage: Eukaryota; Viridiplantae; Streptophyta; Magnoliopsida; Rosales; Rosaceae
Description: long non-coding RNA (PPER_LNC000589)
Source: RNAcentral
UUUUGAAGAACAGGUCUGGGUUAUGGUUGCCUAACAACAAUGGCGGUAGUAAAUAAAAACCGACAUAUAAUAAAAAUUUAGACGACGGUUGGUUUGGUGGAAACCAAUCGUUGUCGUGGUUUACAAAAAACCAAAGCCUAAUUAUUCCAUCCUCAUUCCAUUUCAAAGAACCCUUAACAGAAUGCAAACAUCAAAACAUAAAAACAACCCAUUUAUAGCUCCCAAU